RNAcentral lists this transfer RNA (76 nucleotides) under Rhamnusium bicolor. Its description in RNAcentral is "tRNA-OTHER". The record is from RNAcentral. Lineage: Eukaryota; Metazoa; Arthropoda; Insecta; Coleoptera; Cerambycidae.
GGCUUCGUGGUCGAAUGGUACGGACACUUGCCUCUCACGCAGGAGUCCCGCGUUCGAUUCCUCGGUCGAGGAGCUA